This 1140-nucleotide long non-coding RNA is filed under the name Aquila chrysaetos chrysaetos. RNAcentral's name for it is "lncRNA (ENSACCG00020008524.1)". The record is from RNAcentral. Lineage: Eukaryota; Metazoa; Chordata; Aves; Accipitriformes; Accipitridae.
UCCGGGAGGAGAGAUUUAGCUCCCGCCCGGAUUUAGCUUCUCCCACCGGGCUCCAUCCAUCACCUCCCGCCCCCCCCCCCCCCCCCCCCCCACCUCUCCACGAUGGGGCUGGGCUGCUUAAAACCCUCGGUCAGUCUCCUCCCCGUCUUUCUUCUCCCCCCCCCCCCCCCCGCCCCGUCCGACACCCCCUCCGGGGGGAGGCAGGGGGAGAUGCGGUCGGGGAUGCGGGAGAAGGCGGCGGCCGGGUCGGGACCCCCCCUUCCCUCCCCGUGGGGGCGGAGGAGAUGAUAAGGAGGUUAGAGCAGUCCCGAAGAGGUGGGGGGGGGGGGGGAGAAGGUGAAAGGGGGGGGGGGGGGAGAAGUUUACACAGCCUGGAAGGUGAGAGACAGCGAUGCUCUGGCCUGGAGCAAAAAUCUUUGUCCCGCAGCUGCGUAUCCAGAUGUGCUGCGUUUUGGAAACGCAUCUCCCUCUUCACGCCUUGCAAAAUCCCUGGCAAUUUUCUCUACCAAAGCAGCACUUUGCUGAAGUUUCGUGGAAUUCCUACUGAACACCAGCGCUUUACUUAAAAAAAAAAAAACAAAACAACAAUCCAAUUAAACCCGAUUAAAACCGCCCGAGCAGCUCUACCAGGAGCAGAGACGAUUUCAAGGACCUGCCUUGGCUUUGCCUUUUCCAGGAAAAAAACAUAUAAAAAUAAUAAAGAAAUCCCGUGGUGGGUUUUGAGUGUGCGUGGCCGGAUCCAGCCUCUUUCUGCGGGGAAAUAUCGGUCCUUAGUGCCGAGCAUCGCAUCGCGGGGGGGUGCGCACCCCGAAAAAAACCCCAGUGCCGUGAGGAGCGGAGCCGAGCCCCAGCCUGGUAUAAACAGCCGGGAGGGAAAAGAUGGAUUUCGGACACGUUUUUUUAUCCCGAAAAAACAGAGGAUGGGACACAGGAGAGUGCAGCGACAAAAAAAAAAAAAAAACAACAAAAAAAACAACCCUUAAAAAAAUAAAUCCCUGCUCUGCACUCGGAGGAGCUUUUUUUUUUUUUCUUUUCUUCUGCGAUUUACACAGUGCGCUUGCCGGCAAAGCGAGGCGGUGAACGAAAUCUGGCUGAAAAUAACCCUGCGGAACAAACCUCGGCCUUUCCACUCUCCUUUCC